ACGGGUGAGUAACACGUAGGCAACCUACCCUUUAGAUGGGGAUACCUCGCGGAAACGCGGGUUAAUACCGAAUAGAUCGUCUGCUUGCAUGAGCGGACGAAGAAAGGCGGCGAAAGCUGUCGCUAAAGGAAGCGCCUGCGGCGCAUUAGCUAGUUGGAGAGGUAACGGCUCCCCAAGGCGACGAUGCGUAGCCGACCUGAGAGGGUGAACGGCCACACUGGGACUGAGACACGGCCCAGACUCCUACGGGAGGCAGCAGUAGGGAAUCUUCCGCAAUGGGCGCAAGCCUGACGGAGCAACGCCGCGUGAGUGAAGAAGGUUUUCGGAUCGUAAAGCUCUGUUGCCAGGGAAGACAAAGGCCAAGAGGAACUGCUUGGCCGAUCGACGGUACCUGAGAAGAAAGCCCCGGCUAACUACGUGCCAGCAGCCGCGGUAAUACGUAGGGGGCAAGCGUUGUCCGGAAUAAUUGGGCGUAAAGGGCGCGCAGGCGGCAAAGCAAGUCCGAUGUAUAAGGCUGGAGCUCAACUCCAGAUCGCAUGGGAAACGGCUAAGCUCGAGUGCAGCAGAGGAGAGUGG
Molecule: ribosomal RNA, 576 nt
Filed under: uncultured bacterium
Lineage: Bacteria
Description: bacterial SSU rRNA
Rfam family: Bacterial small subunit ribosomal RNA
Source: RNAcentral